RNAcentral lists this ribosomal RNA (377 nucleotides) under uncultured Gammaproteobacteria bacterium. Its description in RNAcentral is "bacterial SSU rRNA". It matches the Rfam family "Bacterial small subunit ribosomal RNA", at positions 114 to 477 of the family's 1533-position model. Lineage: Bacteria; Pseudomonadati; Pseudomonadota; Gammaproteobacteria. The record is from RNAcentral.
CGCAUAGGAAUCUGCCUAAUAGUGGGGGACAACCUGUGGAAACGCAGGCUAAUACCGCAUACGCUCCUGAUUGAAAGAUGAGGAGGAAAGCGGGGGACCUUUCGGGGCCUCGCGCUACUAGAUGAGCCUAUGUCAGAUUAGCUAGUUGGUGAGGUAAUGGCUCACCAAGGCGACGAUCUGUAGCUGGUCUGAGAGGAUGAUCAGCCACACUGGGACUGAGACACGGCCCAGACUCCUACGGGAGGCAGCAGUGGGGAAUAUUGGACAAUGGGCGCAAGCCUGAUCCAGCAAUACCGCGUGUGUGAAGAAGGCCCGAGGGUUGUAAAGCACUUUCAAUUGGGAGGAACACCUGACCAGAUAAUAUCAGUCAGACUGAC